NNCUAGGAGCCCGGCUGCCCAGUGUGUACGAGGCGGGGGGCGGGGCUAGGCGCGGCCUUGACAACCAUUAGAGCGCUUGGGGCUGCGCGGCUCGGGGACUAUGUUUCCCAGGGGCCGUCGCGGCGGGCCGGAAGGGGUGGGCCUCCUGCCACUGCGCACGCGCGCCAGUCCGGCUGGUUAUAUAAGGGAGGC
This is an unclassified non-coding RNA of Ictidomys tridecemlineatus (thirteen-lined ground squirrel), 192 nucleotides long. The record is from Ensembl. Lineage: Eukaryota; Metazoa; Chordata; Mammalia; Rodentia; Sciuridae.